GAGUAGCUGGGGUUACAGGUGCAUGCCACCACGCCUGGAUAAUUUUUUGUAUUUCUAGUAGAGAUGGGGUUUCACCAUGUUGGUCAGUCUGGUCUUGAACUCCUGACCUCAAGUGAUCCACCCACCUCGGCCCCCCAAAGUACUGGGAUUACAGGUGUGAGCCACCGCGCCUGGCCAAGGGUCUUCUUUUUAAGGGUGAAUAAUGUUUUGUUGUGUGUGCGUGUGUGUGUGUGCGUAUGCCACAUUUUCUUUUUCCAUUCAUCUGUUGAUGGAGACUUAGAUUGUUUCCGUAUCUUGGCGAUUGGGAGUAAUGCCGCAGUGAAUAUUGGAGUGCAGAUGUCUUUAUGAGGUGUGAUUUGAUCUCCAUUGAGUAUGUGUCCAGAAGAGGGAUAGCUGGGUCUAUGUAAUGUAUACUGAUAAGCAGCACAGAGUGGGCACAUAGGAUAGCAUAGAUGCCAUUUUUCUCACAGAUAGUUUGCCGACCUCUUCCUAGAGUUACGUUUUUCUUGUUCCUGAGACAAUAAUGUGGCUGUAAGUACUAAUAGAGACAGUGGCAUUUGUGGGUUGCUUAUGAUCUGCCAGCCCCUGCGUUAAGUGUUCUCUGUGUCUGUUUCAGAUGGGUCUGCUGUGUGCAGAGGCUCCAUGGGAUGUGUUGUCUUCAUAGUAGCAGGGCGCUGGACCAUGGGUCCGCAAGGUCUCAGCCUUAGAUCCAAGGACAGUCCAAGGAAGUCCUAAGACCAUGGAGUUGGUGAUCUGGGAUCUGGGUUUGCUGAUAUUUCUCACCGUGAAUCUCUUGGUGGUGUUUGUGGGCACGAGAGGGGCAGAGAAUGGAGAGUGAGGCUACCACAUGAAGCGUCACCAGAGCUGCUCCCUGCUGCCUGCUCAGAGCACCCCGGAUCCACUGUUCAAUCUGCACAAGAUUCGGGGUCCAGACAUGGGAGACUUCAGCUGCCUCAGAGGACCGUGGACAGGGAAGGCCAGCCUCGCAUCCCUCUGUCCAUGCCUGGAAUGACUUUAAUAACCAAGAGUUUUAUUUUUGAAUUUGUAGCUGUCGUUCACUUUUUACCCACCCAUUCAAUAAACCUUACAGAAUUGCUCCA
Molecule: long non-coding RNA, 1100 nt
Filed under: Homo sapiens (human)
Lineage: Eukaryota; Metazoa; Chordata; Mammalia; Primates; Hominidae
Description: small nucleolar RNA host gene 17
Source: RNAcentral